RNAcentral lists this ribosomal RNA (492 nucleotides) under uncultured bacterium. RNAcentral describes it as "partial 16S ribosomal RNA". It matches the Rfam family "Bacterial small subunit ribosomal RNA", at positions 29 to 507 of the family's 1533-position model. The record is from RNAcentral.
AGUGAACGCUGGCGGUAGGCCUAACACAUGCAAGUCGAACGGCAGCACAGUAAGAGCUUGCUCUUACGGGUGGCGAGUGGCGGACGGGUGAGGAAUACAUCGGAAUCUACUUUUUCGUGGGGGAUAACGUAGGGAAACUUACGCUAAUACCGCAUACGACCUACGGGUGAAAGCAGGGGAUCUUCGGACCUUGCGCGAUUGAAUGAGCCGAUGUCGGAUUAGCUAGUUGGCGGGGUAAAGGCCCACCAAGGCGACGAUCCGUAGCUGGUCUGAGAGGAUGAUCAGCCACACUGGAACUGAGACACGGUCCAGACUCCUACGGGAGGCAGCAGUGGGGAAUAUUGGACAAUGGGCGCAAGCCUGAUGCAGCCAUACCGCGUGGGUGAUGAAGGCCUUCGGGUUGUAAAGCCCUUUUGUUGGGAAAGAAAAGCAGCAGGUUAAUACCCCGCUGUUCUGACGGUACCCAAAGAAUAAGCACCGGCUAACUUCGUG